RNAcentral lists this long non-coding RNA (521 nucleotides) under Dermacentor andersoni. Its description in RNAcentral is "uncharacterized LOC126518609". The record is from RNAcentral. Lineage: Eukaryota; Metazoa; Arthropoda; Arachnida; Ixodida; Ixodidae.
CUUAAAUGUGUUGCACUGUGAUAGUACGAACGCUUGCUGUAUUUACCACAUGGUUGUUUCAUUUCGUCUGGGGCAGUAGUGGCCGUUAGCAGAUGUCAUUUGGCCUUAAGUGCAAUAUUUUUAUGUUGCAUAUUAUGGUUCAUACUGAUCCAUUGAAUGCACUGCACAACCAUGUUCUGGACAACUGCCUGUUUGAAGGAAUGAUCUGCAUAUUCAGUGGGUCUAAUGUGAACAUCUCUAGUACUGCCUGUGUAUUUAUGAGUUAGAUAUUGUAUUGUGUGUCACUUUAUUUUCACUGUAGUUUAGUGGGAUUGCACAUUGAAUGUGUUGUCAUAUUUUACUUUGCUAUGAGAGAUCUAAUGGGCAGCUACCAGCCCCAGUCUGUAUUAGUACAAAUAUUUAUUAUGCUUAUCACAGCAUUUUAAGGCCAUGCCUCAGGCCAUUAACUCAUGCCUGACUUUUUUAUGAGAAACAUGUCAGAACUAAUAAACAAUCACUCAUGCUUGGGAUCUUUGAAAUCA